Molecule: long non-coding RNA, 1643 nt
Organism: Ricinus communis (castor bean)
Lineage: Eukaryota; Viridiplantae; Streptophyta; Magnoliopsida; Malpighiales; Euphorbiaceae
Exons: 3
Source: RefSeq, a predicted model, not a curated record
UUCCAUCACUAAGUUACUGGACAAAAACCCUUUUAGUUCAGGUCUUCUUAUCUCUUACUCUAAAUCUUUUGUUCUUGCUACUGUUUUUCCUUAGGAUAGGGCAAGAAGAGUAUAUUUAAUGUCAGGGAGAAAGAAAAAUGACGAAGUGGGUUAAUGGUUAUAUGGAUUAAAGAAUAUGGAUGACUUGUGCAAGAGGUCUAGAAAACUUUCCGGUAAUUAGAUUUCUGGGUUUUCUUUGGGAAUGGGCUUUGGAUCAAUUUAAGAGGAGUAGUUUCCGAGAUUUGAGAUUGAGAGAGAGAGAUGACGAAAAAAGAAAACAGGUUCCAUAUGCAGAGGUAGGGUGCAGCCGUGAAGGGCAUGGAUCAAUGAAAAAAUUGGCAAAGGCGAAUGAAAAGCGUGAAUCCAAAGCAAUGACACUGAUUUGAAGCAUGGUUACAUUGGUGUCUUCGAGUAUAUUGAUGAUCUCAAUGCUGGAAAAAUUGUGGUUGAGCUAAAUGGGAGGUUGAAUAAGUGUGGAGUUAUUAUUCCUCAUUUUGAUGUUGGUGUUAAGGAGAUUGAGGAGAGUAGACUGCUAGACUGCUCUCAUCAAGAUAGUUUGGUUAUAUUGUGUUAAGAACUUUUGCUGGCAUUAUAGAUCAUGAAGAAGCUAGAAGAAGGAAAGUGGGUGUCAAAGUGUUUGGGUUCUUUUACUAAGGCUGAUCUUUUUUAGGAAAUGAUGCUCCCCUUUUCUCUCGGUCAGUGAUGAGAGGUCUGCACAAGCAACCUAGCUUGCGCAGCCUCUGAGACAAAAAAGGCUACUCUACAUUUCUAUUUUCUUCAAUACUCACCCUUAAGGUGGAUUCGUAUAAGUUUAUCAAACCCAUCUUGCUGAGAAUCAAGUGAGGAUUCUGAUUGUCAAGAGCUUUUGUGAAUAUGUCUGCUAACUGAUCUUGACUCUUGAUAUAAGGUGUUUCAAUUUCUCCUUUCUGAACUUUUUCUCUGAUAAAAUGUCAGUCCACUUCAAUGUGCUUAAUUCGCUCGUGAAAUACUGGGUUUGAUGCUAUGUGACGGGCAGCUUGGUUAUCGCAAUGCAUUUUUAUAGGCUCUUUGUUCUCAAUUUUCAUGUCCUUGAGAACUUGCUUGAUCCAAAUGAGUUUGCUAGCCGUGGAUGCCAUUGCACGAUAUUCAGCUUCGGCACUUGAUCUGGCAACCAGACUUUGUUUUUUGCUUUUCCAUGUCACCAAGUUUCCUCCGACAAAGACACAUAAACCAAUAGUUGACUUCCUACCACAGCUUCCAGCCCAAUCUGCAUCAGAAAAACCAACUAUGUUAGUAGAAUUAUUUUUCUUCAUCUAGAUUCCUUGCCCGGGUGUUCAACUAAAGAGUAGUGAUUUCUUUUUCCACCUAAAAUUGUACUCAACACUGGCCGUGUUGGAUGCGUCAAACAUGAAAGAAAAAAAAAAGCUUUUAGGGAGCAUGGCCAGGAACACCAGCCCGUGUUGGGUACACGGCCAGGAACACUGCCGUGUUGGCUGGCGACAGGGGGAGUUAGUUAAAAGAAAAAAGAGAGGAAAGAAGGAGGCGGCUAGGGUUAGAACGUCCCAAACCCUAAUUUUUCUUUCCCUAAGGGUUUUCUGAGUUGAAACUAAGAGAAAAGGAGACUU